UCCGUUAACUUUAAUUAUCUUUAUAGUUAUUUUAUUUAAAUUUUAAUAACGGUUUGUCAUUAAAUUAUACUUAAAAAUAAUAAGAUCUAACUAAAAUAAAUCUUUGACUGACGUCAUACUUAACUAUUAGUUGGCACAAGUACUUCAGUUGGUAUUAGACACCAUUCGCUGUCAUGUGAGUUUCGUUCUGUGGGGCUUCUCGUCUAACGACAGGAAAUAUUGGACACUUCGCUUGGUACGCUAGAACGGAAAAGUGGCGGAUGGCUGAUUGAAAAGGACGGAAAUUUUAAUACAAUAGUUUCAAGCUUUUAUAAGUGAUAUUUAGUGGCAAAUUAUUGGUGGUGUUUUGGAGAAGCUAGGAGACUAAGUUUUGGGAGAUCCCGGAGGAAUUGGAAGUCAUGUCAUCCGCCACUUGGGGGAAAUCUUAAACUGUAACCAGUCCGUCAGCUCCCCUCACAACUGGGAGCAACCGUUCUACGCCAAGCCAGGUCAUUUGGAGACCAGCCUGGAGAACCUCCCACAUACCUACUUUGUAUCCUGCCCUCUGCACCCCAGAAGGGCAUCGGUAUAUUAAUUGGUACAAGCUAGCACCAUCCCUGUGCUAAUUCGCCUACCAGGGAUUUUGGAAUCCGUAGCAAGGACACUCUCGGGGACCAUAUAGGGU
This 664-nucleotide long non-coding RNA is filed under the name Diabrotica virgifera virgifera (western corn rootworm). RNAcentral's name for it is "uncharacterized LOC126892286". Lineage: Eukaryota; Metazoa; Arthropoda; Insecta; Coleoptera; Chrysomelidae. The record is from RNAcentral.